RNAcentral lists this long non-coding RNA (1115 nucleotides) under Canis lupus familiaris (dog). RNAcentral describes it as "lncRNA (ENSCAFG00000056708.1, ENSCAFG00845021576.1)". The record is from RNAcentral. Lineage: Eukaryota; Metazoa; Chordata; Mammalia; Carnivora; Canidae.
AUGGCAGUUCCUCAAAAUGUUAAACGUGGAAUUACCACACAACCCAACAAUCCUAUUGGUAGGUGUACAUCCAAAAGGACUGAAAAAGGGACUCAAACAGACACUUGUACAUAAAUGUUCAUAGCAGCAUUAUUCACAAGAGCCAAAAGAUGGAGGCAACCCAACUGUCACUGACAGAUGAAUGGAUAAACAAAAUGUACUAUAAACAUAUGAUGGAAUAUCACUCGGCUAUAAAAUGAAUGAAGUAUCAAUACGUGCUACAACAUGGAUGAACUUCAAUAAAGGAAGCCAUACACAAUCAGUCACAUAUUAUAUGAUUCUAUUUGUGUAAAAUACUGAGAAUAGGUAAAACCAUACAAACAGAAAGCAGAUUAGGAGUUGACAGGGACUGGGAGAAAGAUGGAGAAACACUGCUCAAUGGUUACAGGGUUUCAUUUUAGGGUGAUGAAAAUGUUCUGGAACUUGAUAGAGGUGGACAUUGUACAACAUUGUGAAUGUACUAAAUGCCAUUAAAUUGUGACUUUAAAAUAAUUUUUAUAUGUCAAUUUUCACCUCAGUGAAAAUAAAUAAGAAAACCUUCUGGUGCCCCUUGUAAGGAAAAUUAUUAAAACUAUUCUGGGUUCUUUCCGAAGAAGACACACAUAAUAAAAAAGAUUAAAUACAAUUAGUAAAUAAUUAUAGCUGUGUAAAUAAAAGGGUAAAAAAACUACCCCCUACUUCACUUAGGAAAAUACAAGAAAAAAUACCUUGAGGAAUAAACAACCAGGAAUCAUAUAAAUACUGCUAUGUUUAUUUUUCUGUAGAAUUACUCUCAUAGAACUUCUGGUUGGGUAUACGAAUUUUUCUUGGCUCCAAAACUUCACUAUAGUAAUAGUAAAGGAGUAAAGAACAAGAGAGGAGAUAGUUAUCAACUGACAGAUAUCGAUGAACUUUUAGAAACUAGAAAGCAGAUAAAUGGCCUCAAAUGUCCCCUGUCAAUGAAUCCUAUCUUUAUUAACCUAUUUGAAAUUUCAACCCCAACUCUGUCUACCACUUCCAAUUCCACUAUCAUACUAUAUUUUUGGCCACAGGAGAUUAUCACCUACAACAUGUAAUGCAACUUACUAGGUUUAUUG